AAACCAAUAGCUAAGUGUAUGAAUAAUGACAUAAAUUACCAAGUAGAGUUAUAAGGAGGGAAGCAAAUGGCUGGGAAGAGGAGAUCUUGUUAAAUUGGAGAAUCUUAAUAAAAAUAAAAGAAUCUCUCAUCCUGAAACUUGGCACAUUUGUGGGAAGCAAGAACCCCCACCCCCCCUUUAUUUUUUUAUUUUCUUGGCAACCUGCAGCUCAUAAAGGGACUGUUUAGCACCAAAAAACCAGCUUCAUAUCCCACUGGUUUUCGUUAUUUUUGUGCAUACAAGGAGAUCUCAGCAACCUAAGUAUCAUCCACAUUCGUCCAGAAAAAGAAUCCUAGAUAUCGGUCAUGCUGCCUCUAGUUCUCAACAAUGAAAAUCGUACCUCUUUAUUGCCUGAACCCUGAAAUAGUCGCACACGAUAGUAAAUCAUAUCCACGAUGAGCGUUGACAGCCCUGGCUUGUGAACAAAACAAUUCCGAUAGAAAUAGAAGCAAGGAGAGGGGAAUUGGGAUAAGGUGGCCCCAUUCAAUUUUUUUUUCAUUCUAUUUUUUUUUUACUGCUUGUCUCACAGGUGACCUGCCCAAGGAGAGGGAAGAAGGGACAGCAGCUGGCAUUCUGUCCCGAAACUCACUUCCAGCCAAUUGAGAAUUCCCUGCUGCCAAAUAGCAGCAACACAAUCUUCACAACAACCUGAAGAAAUGGAUGCUAUGAAUAGUCUCGGUUUACUGAUGAAGAAACGUGACUUGGAGAGAGGAGUAACGAAGAAGGUCACUGAGAGUGAAAAGUAGUGGCAGGUCUCCUUGCUGCGCUAGGUCUACCCUCUCCUCUUCUGCUCCCAACCAUAAGUGAACGGAAACUUGGAGAAACACCUGAGCAGCGACCCUGGUGGCAGUAACAGCAGCAGCUACAACCCUACGGGUUCCCCAGCCGAAGUCUGUCCCCUUCGUUAGCGUGCUGAAGGCUGCACAGCCAACGUGUGCCGUUCGGACAGGCUGAUGCGUUCAAACGCCCGGUCUACCCGAAGUCCUUGGUGACCAUGAAGAGGGUUAUGCACCAUAACAGGGUGAUGUGGGGCCCCGGUACGUCUUGUGGUCUGAGCAACCCUGGCAAGGACACCCAUGCAUCCAACAUGGAGUUGAGAGUAACUGACAGAACCUGUUGAACCAGAAGGAGCCUGGCUGCCCCUGGGUGGCCCGGUUGAGGGAGAGGCUGCGCCUCCCAGCCACACUCAGAAGCAGCAGGCAAGUUGACACUGUCAUCUCUGGGGACAUAUGCGUGGAUUCGGAGAAGACAGCCUGUGAGAGCAGGAUGCUGGUGAGAUGUGCAGAAUUGAACUGCACACGAAGCCAGGUGGUAAGCUGGACCAGCGAACCACUACUGGUUGAAUCUAAGGAUGGCAAGAGAUGUCUGCAGAUCUUGGUGGGCUGUGAUAAUGUCAGUGGCUUCUUCCAGAGAAUGCUAGGAGCUUAAGUCAGGAAUCUGAAGUCAGUCUGAGAAUAAGUUCUUUAAAAA
Molecule: long non-coding RNA, 1509 nt
Organism: Myotis lucifugus (little brown bat)
Lineage: Eukaryota; Metazoa; Chordata; Mammalia; Chiroptera; Vespertilionidae
Exons: 3
Source: RefSeq, a predicted model, not a curated record